ACAACAACCAGGACCAUCCGUCUAUCAAGCAAUAACACCCGCUCAGUGGAAGUUCUUCCCUGCGUCUU
This 68-nucleotide microRNA precursor is filed under the name Bombyx mori (domestic silkworm). Its description in RNAcentral is "mir-2774 microRNA precursor family". It matches the Rfam family "mir-2774 microRNA precursor family". The record is from Rfam by way of RNAcentral. Lineage: Eukaryota; Metazoa; Arthropoda; Insecta; Lepidoptera; Bombycidae.